GAUGAACGCUGGCGGCGUGCUUAACACAUGCAAGUCGAGCGAGAAGUUUUGAACAGAUUCUUCGGAUGCAAUUUAAAAUGGAAAGCGGCGGACGGGUGAGUAACGCGUAGGCAACCUGCCCCAUACAAAGGGAUAGCAUUUGGAAACGAAUAUUAAUACCUUAUGAAACUUAACUAGUGCAUGCUAGGUAGGUCAAAGAUUUAUCGGUAUGGGAUGGGCCUGCGUCUGAUUAGCUAGUUGGUGAGGUAACGGCUCACCAAGGCGACGAUCAGUAGCCGACCUGAGAGGGUGAACGGCCACAUUGGAACUGAGACACGGUCCAAACUCCUACGGGAGGCAGCAGUGGGGAAUAUUGCACAAUGGGGGAAACCCUGAUGCAGCAACGCCGCGUGAACGAGGAAGGCCUUUGGGUCGUAAAGUUCUGUUCUAGGUGAUGAAAACUGACAGUAACCUAGGAGAAAGCCCCGGCUAACUCCGUG
This 479-nucleotide ribosomal RNA is filed under the name uncultured bacterium. Its description in RNAcentral is "partial 16S ribosomal RNA". It matches the Rfam family "Bacterial small subunit ribosomal RNA", at positions 28 to 507 of the family's 1533-position model. The record is from RNAcentral.